ACGGGGCGCCAAGGCCGGAAAACUUUACCAUGUCGGGCAACCGGUGAUAAGGAAACCCCGAGUGCCAGCAUAGGCUGGCUGUCCGCCAGUUUAAAAAACUGGUGAAGAAAGGGCCGGGCAAGACCGGUGCCAGCCGCCGCGGUAAUACCGGCGGCUCGAGUGGUGGCCACUAUUACUGGGCUUAAAGGGUCCGUAGCUUGAUAUGCAAGUCUUUUGAGAAAUCCGCCAGCUUAACUGGCGGGCGUUCAGGGGAAACUGCAUUUCUUGGGACCGGGAGAGGUGAGAGGUACUGCCGGGGUAGGAGUGAAAUCCUGUAAUCCCGGUGGGACCACCUAUAGCGAAGGCAUCUCACCAGAACGGGUCCGACAGUGAGGGACGAAAGCUGGGGGAGCAAACCGGAUUAGAUACCCGGGUAGUCCCAGCUGUAAACGAUGCGCGUUAGGUGUGUCGGUGACCACGUGUCACCGAGGUGCCGAAGGAAACCGUGAAACGCGCCGCCUGGGGAGUACGGUCGCAAGGCUGAAACUUAAAGGAAUUGGCGGGGGAGCACCACAACGGGUGGAGCCUGCGGUUUAAUCGGACUCAACGCCGGAAAUCUCACCGGAUAAGACAGCUGAAUGAUAGUCGGGAUGAAGACUCUACUUGACUAGCUGAGAGGAGGUGCAUGGCCGUCGUCAGUUCGUACUGUGAAGCAUCCUGUUUAGUCAGGCAACGAGCGAGACCCACGCGAGCAGUUGCCAGCUUGACCUUCGGGUUGAUGGGGACACUGCUCGGACCGCCUCUGCUAAAGGGGAGGAAGGAAUGGGCAACGGUAGGUCAGCAUGCCCCGAAUUAUCCGGGCUACACGCGGGCUACAAUGGAUAGGACAAUGGGUUUCGACACCGAGAGGUGAGGACAAUCUCCUAAACCUAUCCGAAGUUCGGAUUGCGGGUUGUAACUCACCCGCAUGAAGCUGGAAUCCGUAGUAAUCGCGUUUCAACAUAGCGCGGUGAAUAUGUCCCUGCUCCUUGUACACACCGCCCGUCA
Molecule: ribosomal RNA, 1026 nt
Filed under: uncultured Methanomicrobium sp.
Lineage: Archaea; Methanobacteriati; Methanobacteriota; Methanomicrobia; Methanomicrobiales; Methanomicrobiaceae
Description: bacterial SSU rRNA
Rfam family: Archaeal small subunit ribosomal RNA
Source: RNAcentral